This 253-nucleotide ribosomal RNA is filed under the name uncultured bacterium. RNAcentral describes it as "partial 16S ribosomal RNA". It matches the Rfam family "Bacterial small subunit ribosomal RNA", at positions 524 to 776 of the family's 1533-position model. The record is from RNAcentral.
UACGAGGGGGGCAAGCGUUGUUCGGAAUUAUUGGGCGUAAAGGGCGCGUAGGCGGUGCGGUAAGUCUGAUGUGAAAUCUCCGGGCUCAACUCGGAGUCUGCAUCAGAAACUGCCGUGCUCGAGUGUGGGAGAGGUGAGUGGAAUUCCCGGUGUAGCGGUGAAAUGCGUAGAUAUGCGGAGGAACACCGAUGGCGAAGGCAAUCCCCUGGGCCUGCACUGACGCUCAUGCACGAAAGCGUGGGGAGCAAACAGG